RNAcentral lists this ribosomal RNA (540 nucleotides) under uncultured archaeon. RNAcentral's name for it is "bacterial SSU rRNA". It matches the Rfam family "Archaeal small subunit ribosomal RNA", at positions 459 to 997 of the family's 1478-position model. The record is from RNAcentral.
CAGCAGCCGCGGGAACACCGGCGGCCCGAGUGGUGAUCGUGAUUAUUGGGUCUAAAGGGUCCGUAGCCGGUUUGGUCAGUCCUCCGGGAAAUCUGAUAGCUCAACUAUUAGGCUUUCGGGGGAUACUGCCAGACUUGGAACCGGGAGAGGUAAGAGGUACUACAGGGGUAGGAGUGAAAUCUUGUAAUCCCUGUGGGACCACCUGUGGCGAAGGCGUCUUACCAGAACGGGUUCGACGGUGAGGGACGAAAGCUGGGGGCACGAACCGGAUUAGAUACCCGGGUAGUCCCAGCCGUAAACGAUGCUCGCUAGGUGUCAGGCAUGGCGCGACCGUGUCUGGUGCCGCAGGGAAGCCGUGAAGCGAGCCACCUGGGAAGUACGGCCGCAAGGCUGAAACUUAAAGGAAUUGGCGGGGGAGCACAACAACGGGUGGAGCCCUGCGGUUUAAUUGGACUCAACGCCGGACAACUCACCGGGGGCGACAGCAAUAUGUAGGCCAAGCUGAAGACUUUGCCUGAAUCGCUGAGAAGUGGUGCAUGG